ACGGGAGGCAGCAGUGGGGAAUAUUGGGCAAUGGGCGCAAGCCUGACCCAGCAACGCCGCGUGAAGGAUGAAGGUCUUCGGAUUGUAAACUUCUUUGAUCAGGGACGAAUUUUGACGGUACCUGAAGAACAAGUCACGGCUAACUACGUGCCAGCAGCCGCGGUAAUACGUAGGUGGCAAGCGUUAUCCGGAUUUACUGGGUGUAAAGGGCGCGUAGGCGGGGAGACAAGUCAGGUGUGAAAUCUAUGGGCUUAACCCAUAAACUGCAUUUGAAACUGUAUCUCUUGAGUGCUGGAGAGGUAGAUGGAAUUCCUUGUGUAGCGGUGAAAUGCGUAGAUAUAAGGAAGAACACCAGUGGCGAAGGCGAUCUACUGGACAGUAACUGACGCUGAGGCGCGAAAGCGUGGGGAGCAAACAGGAUUAGAUACCCUGGUA
Molecule: ribosomal RNA, 435 nt
Rfam family: Bacterial small subunit ribosomal RNA